Molecule: long non-coding RNA, 978 nt
Filed under: Brachypodium distachyon (stiff brome)
Lineage: Eukaryota; Viridiplantae; Streptophyta; Magnoliopsida; Poales; Poaceae
Description: long non-coding RNA (BDIS_LNC002602)
Source: RNAcentral
CUCCAUGCAAGUGUAUGCUUGAAGAGUUUAUCUUUAUCAUCAGGUUAGGUGUCUGUAUAUUUCUGUUGCCCCUUCAGUAGUCUCCAGUUUGUGCAGCAAGACCUGAAAUGAAAUCUGAAUGCUAGCAACAAAUUAAACCAUAAAAUAACCGUGUAACAUCCCUUUAACAUUGAAAUGAAAUCUUAACUAUUAUUGUGUAGUUAACAUAGCAUGCCCCAUAUGCACCUAUUCAAGUGAGUCUGGAGUCUGAGCUCACUGAUAUUGCUUACUGUAAGGGCAAAUUCUCUAGCUAUGCAUGUCUUGCAAGAAACUGCGGGUAUGGUAAUGUUAGUAGGUGUCUGUAUAUUUGUGUUGUCCCUUCGGUAGUCUCCAGUUUGUGCAGCAAGACCUGAAAUGGAAUCUGGAUGCUAGCAACAAAUUGAACCAUAAAAUAACUGUGUAACAUCACUUCAACGUUGAAAUUAAAUCUUAACUAUUAGUAUUGUAUAGUUAACAUAGCAUGCCCCAUCAUGCACACUGACUGUCUUAACUACUCAAGUGAAGCAAUCUGGAGUAUGUACUAUGAUCUCACUGAUAUAGCUUGCCGCAAGUGCCAAUUCCCUAGCUAUGCAUGUCUUACAUGAAAAUGCAGGUAUGGUAAUGUUAGUAUGGCCACAUGUCUGUCAUAUUCGUGCAUCGCUUUUAACAUAUUCCUGUCAAAUUCCUUUCUGAAGGAAGCACAGUAUUGUUCAACAGGUGCACAAGUAGCUCGAUACUGAAGUGCAUUAAACUCUUUAAAACGGAAGGGAGGGAGUAUAACAUACCUUAAACGACCUGAUAAAUACUGACUGCAUUCAGAAAUAUGGAGUGGUUCAGUGUAUUAAAAAAUAUUUAACUGACUUUGGACCUCCCUGCGACUGGUGUUGUACAUAUGGGUGGAUUUGAUCAUAUCCCCUAAAGGUGGUUGACCAUUGCUCAUUUUUCAAAGUUGGAUAUCAG